Molecule: ribosomal RNA, 254 nt
Filed under: uncultured bacterium
Lineage: Bacteria
Description: partial 16S ribosomal RNA
Rfam family: Bacterial small subunit ribosomal RNA
Source: RNAcentral
UACGGGGGGGGCAAGCGUUGUUCGGAAUUACUGGGCGUAAAGGGCUCGUAGGCGGCCAACUAAGUCAUACGUGAAAUCCCUCGGCUUAACCGGGGAACUGCGUCUGAUACUGGAUGGCUUGAGUGUGGGAGAGGGAUGCGGAAUUCCAGGUGUAGCGGUGAAAUGCGUAGAUAUCUGGAGGAACACCGGUGGCGAAGGCGGCAUCCUGGACCAUUACUGACGCUGAGUGAGCGAAAGCCAGGGGAGCAAACGGG